AAUAGUGAUAUGGAGCAAAACCCUAAAAGCGGUCUCAGUUCGGAUUGAAGGCUGAAAUUCGCCUUCAUGAAGCUGGAAUUGCUAGUAAUGGCAGGUCAGCAUACUGCCGUGAAUACGUUCCCGGGCCUUGUACACACCGCCCGUCACACCAUGAGAGUUGGAAAUACCCGAAGCCUGUGAGCUAACAGUAAUGAGGCAGCAGUCGAAGGUAGAGCCAAUGAUUGGGGUGAAGUCGUAACAAGGUACC
RNAcentral lists this ribosomal RNA (247 nucleotides) under uncultured bacterium. RNAcentral's name for it is "partial 16S ribosomal RNA". It matches the Rfam family "Bacterial small subunit ribosomal RNA", at positions 1253 to 1500 of the family's 1533-position model. The record is from RNAcentral.